UGAUGACGAGACGCCAAGGCGUUGAAGCAGUGUAUGUCAGACUUCCAAGAAAAGCUCGCAAUGUCACAAAUAAAAAUGCCUGUACCAUAACCGACACAGGUGGGUAGGUAGAGUAUACUAAGGGGCGCGAGAUAACUCUCUCUAAGGAACUCGGCAAAAUGACUCCGUAACUUCGGGAGAAGGAGUGCCUUAUUUGUAAGGUUGCAAUAACAAGAUCCAAGCAACUGUUUAUCAAAAACACAGGUCUCCGCUAAGUCGUAAGACGAUGUAUGGGGGCUGACGCCUGCCCAGUGCCAGAAGGUUAAAGAAGUUGGUUAGUGUAUGCGAAGCUGAUGACUGAAGCCCUGGUGAACGGCGGCCGUAACAAUAACGGUCCUAAGGUAGCGAAAUUCCUUGUCGGGUAAGUUCCGACCCGCACGAAAGGCGUAAUGAUUUGGAUACUGUCUCGGAGAGAGGCUCGGUGAAAUAGACUUGUCUGUGAAGAUGCGGACUACCUGCACCAGGACAGAAAGACCCUAUGAAGCUUUACUGUAACUUGAAAUUGGAAUUGGACUUUGCUUGCGCAGUAUAGGUGGGAAGCGUUGAAAAUAUUCUUGCGGGAGUAUUGGAGCUAUCAGUGAGAUACCACUCUUGUAAUGUUAGAUUUCUAACUUUGAACCAUAAUCUGGUCAAAGAACAGUUUCAGGUGGGCAGUUUGACUGGGGCGGUCGCCUCCCAAAUGGUAACGGAGGCGUACAAAGGUUUCCUCUGAACGGAUAGAAAUCGUAUCUAGAGUGUAAAGGCAUAAGGAAGCUUGACUGUGAGACCUACAAGUCGAGCAGGGACGAAAGUCGGUCUUAGUGAUCUGACGGUACUGAGUGGAAAGGCCGUCACUCAACGGAUAAAAGUUACUCUAGGGAUAACAGGCUGAUCUCCCCCAAGAGUUCACAUCGACGGGGAGGUUUGGCACCUCGAUGUCGGCUCAUCGCAUCCUGGGGCGGUAGUACGUCCCAAGGGUUGGGCUGUUCGCCCAUGAAAGCGGUACGCGAGCUGGGUUCAGAACGUCGUGAGACAGUUCGGUCCAUAUCCGGUGUAGGCGCUAGAAUAUUGAGAGGAGCCUUCUUUAGUACGAGAGGACCGAGAAGGACACACCGCUGGUGUACCAGUUAUCGUGCCAACGGUAAACGCUGGGUAGCUAUGUGUGGAGUGGAUAACCGCUGAAAGCAUCUAAGUGGGAAGCCCACCUCGAGAUGAGUAUUCGC
This 1241-nucleotide ribosomal RNA is filed under the name metagenome. Its description in RNAcentral is "bacterial LSU rRNA". It matches the Rfam family "Bacterial large subunit ribosomal RNA", at positions 1564 to 2815 of the family's 2925-position model. The record is from RNAcentral.